AUUGAACGCUGGCGGCAUGCUUUACACAUGCAAGUCGAACGGCAGCGCGGGGCAACCUCGCGGCGAGUGGCGAACGGGUGAGUAAUAUAUCGGAACGUACCCAGAAGUGGGGGAUAACGUAGCGAAAGUUACGCUAAUACCGCAUACGAUCUACGGAUGAAAGUAGGGGACCGCAAGGCCUUAUGCUUUUGGAGCGGCCGAUAUCUGAUUAGCUAGUUGGUGAGGUAAAGGCUCACCAAGGCGACGAUCAGUAGCUGGUCUGAGAGGACGACCAGCCACACUGGAACUGAGACACGGUCCAGACUCCUACGGGAGGCAGCAGUGGGGAAUUUUGGACAAUGGGCGCAAGCCUGAUCCAGCAAUGCCGCGUGAGUGAAGAAGGCCUUCGGGUUGUAAAGCUCUUUUGUCAGGGAAGAAACGGUAGAGGCUAAUAUCCUUUGCUAAUGACGGUACCUGAAGAAUAAGCACCGGCUAACUACGUG
Molecule: ribosomal RNA, 482 nt
Filed under: uncultured bacterium
Lineage: Bacteria
Description: partial 16S ribosomal RNA
Rfam family: Bacterial small subunit ribosomal RNA
Source: RNAcentral